UGCAGUAUAGAGUAAUGGUUAACUCAUUGGGCUCAUGUCCCAAAGUUGCAAGUUCGAAUCUUGCUACUGCA
This 71-nucleotide transfer RNA is filed under the name Pseudomuriella schumacherensis. RNAcentral's name for it is "tRNA-Met". It matches the Rfam family "tRNA". Rfam says of the family: Transfer RNA (tRNA) molecules are approximately 80 nucleotides in length. Their secondary structure includes four short double-helical elements and three loops (D, anti-codon, and T loops). Lineage: Eukaryota; Viridiplantae; Chlorophyta; Chlorophyceae; Sphaeropleales; Pseudomuriellaceae. The record is from RNAcentral.